UUUGCUCUUCAUUUCAACAUGUCUUUUCCUCUUACUCUUUGUGAUUUUCACUUGAUCCUUUUGAGUUUUGAUUCCAAAGUUCUUAAGAGACAGAGAUCCUAUUGGCUGGUGCAAGACCAUAGCAGUUGUGUGUGUGUGUGUGUGUGUGUGUGAGAGAGAGAGAGAGAGAGAGGGAGAGGGAGAGGGAGAGGGAGAGGGAGAGGGAGAGCGCUGAGUCACUGUCUCCCAUUUCUGGCUUCGCUUCUCACAUCCACAACCCAUGUGCUCUACUUCCAUUUUUUCCUCUCAUUCCUGUUCCAAGCACAUCUGAAGGAACACACACAGGACCUUGGCAGGCAGAGAUGUACCCUGUGGCUUGGUCUUUCUCUGCUCAGCUAGUGGUGAUGAAAACAGUAACAAAGACCCUGACUUUGCUAAAUGACCAAGACUCACUCAGAUAACAAGCCAGUACAGUUGCUGGCAGAGAGCCUUCUAGACGCUUGAUGCAGUGUGACCUACUGGAGUGAGAAGGAGAAUUGGAAGGGGAGGGCUCUCAGUUACAUUUUGGUCCAAUUAAAGGAUACUAUUAUCUCCUCCUGAUGUGGACUGAUGAUCCUGUUUAUCAUUAACUAUCAUCUACUGAGAACUUUUAUGUGCCAGGUACUGAACUAGGUAUUGCAUGUUCAUUGUCUUACCAUAAUCCUGCAAUUUCGUUGUUGUUGUUGUUUUUUUUUUUUAACAAAGGAGAAAACUGAGUUUCAGAAAGGUUAACUCAUUUGUUCAAUAGUGUUACGCAGCUUAUAAACGGUACAGUCAGAAAUCCAAUCUUGGUAUGACUAUAAAAUAACUUAUACCCUUUCUGGGAGAAACACAUAGCUUACGCCCUGUAAAUUUGAUAUUUAAAGUGCCAGGUGACUGUGGCCUAGAAAAGGCGAUUUGGCCAUGGGAAUACAGAGUAAGUCAAUAAUUUAUAUUCAGAACAAUGUCUACUCUUUUCGUUACAGAGAAUUCCAGGAAAACUCAGAUGAGGUAGAUUCAUAAGGCAGAAAAAUCCCUUCUUGGGAGUUCCCGUCAUGGAUCAGCAGUUAACGAACCUGACUAGUAACGAACCUGACUAGUAUCCAUGAGGUUUGAUCCUUGGCCUCACUCAGUGGAUUAAAGAUCCAGCAUUGCCAUGAGCUGUGGUGCAGCUCUCACACGUAGCUGGGAUCUGGCAUAGCUGUGGUGUAGGCCAGCGGCUACAGCUCUAAUUUGACCCCUAGCCUGGGAACGUCCAUAUGCCACAGGUGUGGCCCUAAAAAGACCAAAAAAAGAAAAAAAAAAUCGCUUCUUAAUACUGAGGGAGUAAGAACCCUGCCUCCUACCUCCCCUAACCCCCAGUCUGGGCCUGGCGAGCCUACAAGAAAAAAUUUAAUGUCACUGUUCUUAUUUUAAAUAAUUACUCCUGAAUUUUUAAAUGAA
RNAcentral lists this long non-coding RNA (1440 nucleotides) under Sus scrofa (pig). RNAcentral's name for it is "lncRNA (ENSSSCG00055019495.1)". The record is from RNAcentral. Lineage: Eukaryota; Metazoa; Chordata; Mammalia; Artiodactyla; Suidae.